UACGUAGGGUGCAAGCGUUGUCCGGAAUUAUUGGGCGUAAAGAGCUCGUAGGCGGUUUGUCGCGUCUGCUGUGAAAACCCGAGGCUCAACCUCGGCCUGCAGUGGUACGGCAGACUAGAGUGCGGUAGGGGAGAUUGGAAUUCCUGGUGUAGCGGUGGAAUGCGCAGAUAUCAGGAGGAACACCAAUGGCGAGCAGAUCUCUGGCCGUAACUGACGCUGAGGAGCGAAAGCAUGGGAGCGAACAGG
This 246-nucleotide ribosomal RNA is filed under the name uncultured bacterium. Its description in RNAcentral is "partial 16S ribosomal RNA". It matches the Rfam family "Bacterial small subunit ribosomal RNA", at positions 524 to 776 of the family's 1533-position model. The record is from RNAcentral.